AGGUCCCCUUUCUGCAACAGAGAGCUUUCUUCAUUCACUUAUUAAACUUUCACUCCGACCUCACCCUUUGGGUCCAUACUCCUUAAUUCUCUUGGUCUUGGGUGAUACCUCACAAGGAGAGACUGCUACAUUGUGGUGCAUUGGUGAGACUGUAACAGACUCCUUUCCAAGUGUUUGGUGUCUGAGUUUUCAGAAGGUUUGACAUGCAUUUCUUCAUUUAAUGCUUAGAACAGACCACCACCAAUAAUAACAACUCCACAUCUUAUUUUUCAGAUGGGGAAACUAUGAUUCAGAAUGAUAACAAUUAAUACAAAGCUGAAGCAAGAUUCAAAUCCAAGUCUUCUGACUUGAAAUCCUACUUUCUUGCCACUUUUUAAACUAUUUAUCUGAUGUUGGCAAUUCAUGGCAAUCAGAGGAUGGAUGAAGGGCUCUGGAGGUUUUGGUUACAGUCAGGGAGCAUUAGAAAGAACAAGUGUGCUUAGAUGAGGCGGGAAAGCCCAGGUACAUGAAGGAAAAGAAUAAUUUGCCUAAGUUGCCUAGUUUAAAAUCAUUUUUAAUUGGAAAGGUAUUUUUAUCUUCAUUUACAGAUGUGGAAACUAAGAUUCAGAAUGAUUAUUCAAAAAUCACAUAGCUAGUGGCAACCUCAAGGAUUGAAACCAGGUGUGUCUAUCUCUAAAUAUAGUGAUAAAAAGCAUGCAUUUUGGGUUGAACUCUGCUCUCCACAUAGAUCUUGGUCCAGCCCGCCCCCUAACCCUGGUGUCCUCAUGUGAAAUGAGGCUAAUAAUUGCCAGGCCUCUGAGCCCAAGCCAAGCCAUCACAUCCCCUGUGACUUGCACAUAUACGCCCAGAUGGCCUGAAGUAACUGAAGAAUCACAAAAGAAGUGAAUAUGCCCUGCCCCACCUUAACUGAUGACAUUCCACCACAAAAGAAGUGUAAAUGGCCAGUCCUUGCCUUAAGUGAUGACAUUACCUUGUGAAAGUCCUUUUCCUGGCUCAUCCUGGCUCAAAAAGCACCCCCACUGAGCACCUUGCGACCCCCACUCCUGCCUGCCAGAGAACAACCCCCCUUUGACUGUAAUUUUCCCUUACCUACCCAAAUCCUAUAAAUUGCCCCACCCCUAUCUCCCUUUGCUGACUCUCUUUUCAGACUCAGCCCACCUGCACCCAGGUGAUUAAAAGCUUUAUUGCUCACACAAAGCCUGUUUGGUGGUCUCUUCACACGGACACACAUGAAAUUUGGUGCCGUGACUCGGAUCGGGGGUCCUCCCUUGGGAGAUCAAUCCCCUGUCCUCCUGUUCUUUGCUCCGUGAGAAAGAUCCACCUACGACCUCAGGUCCUCAGACCGACCAGCCCAACGAACAUCUCACCAAUUUUAAAUCAGGACCUACCAGUCUGCCCUGCUCAUACUUGAUCUGGAUGAGACUGAUACCCUGCGAGACGCAACAGAAUCAGCUCCUGGGAUUGUGUUAGCAGAAUGACGGGAGUGUGAGAUCCACCACAUGGCGAGGCACCCCAGGAACCUGUUUUCUUCUUGAAGAGCAACCGAGAACUAUUUCCAAGUUAUCCUUCACUUUGAGCGGCAGCAGAGAAGCCAGAACCGGAAGACACCUUGUAGUCUGAGACCAUGGACACCUCAGCAGUUAAUAUUGUAGACCAGGCAAUGGUCAGGUGGAGUAAAACAUAAGGAAGAACAUCUUUUUGGUUCAAAGCAUGAAAAAAAUUGGGUAACACACCUUCCUUACAUCUAGCUGGGCCAUUGAACCAGAAUAUGCCAAUGUUUAAAACACUGAAAUGCCAGCUUUUCUCUUAAAGGACAGCAUGGAGGUGUCUGAUUUCUGCUUGGGCUGAGGAUUCAGGAGAAGAUGUGUGGAACACAGCCUGGACAUGCCCCAACCUGGUUGAUGAAUUCCACCCCAAGUAGUGGAAGAAACACACCUACAACAUGAGCAGAGAAGAUUUUUCUUCUGUACUUUCCAGGACUUGAAGCUGCUUUGUUUUUUGGUCGCUGGGUGGGGAAGGAGGAACAAUAGUAUAGCUUCCAGAAGAGAGAAGAGAGAUAUCUCUUGAGUGUGAAUUAAGCAGUACCAAGAGGCCUCAAGCUAGCUCUCUCUCCUGCUUUAAAUUCUACUGUUAAGAGUUUUUCUUUAAGUUUAAAACCUUGAAAGCUCCAUGAUGCUCCUGAGUAGAACAAUAAAGCCAUUAGUAGUCAAUGGCCGUCUUUAAUAUUUUUCUUCCAUUUCAAUUUUAGUUCUAAUUUUAUCUGACUCCUAAAAAUAUGUUUCAUAUUCUCAUGAGGGCUGGGCCCAUAUGUGUAAAUGGUUGAAACAUCUUACUUUGUUGACUGAACUAGUCUAAAUAGUCAGUCAAAUUUUUUUUUUAGGCAAAAGUGAAUUUCAUCAAAUUGGUUGGCCCACAAUUUCUUAAAUUCAUCAUUGAUUGAUUAUCUGUGAUGUGCCAAUCCCUGUGCAAGUUCCUAGGGCAACAGAAGUAAAAAUCCAUAAUCUCUGUUUCCAGGACUCUAUCAGUUUGAUAGGGACACAGGCACAUAAGCAGACAAUCAUAAUGCAGUGGUAGUAGGGAUAUGCCACUCUCAUCCAGGCAGUGUAUUGAUGACCAUGUCCUUGAGUUCCCAAGUACAUUGAAAAAGGUGUAAUAAGGAGAUGCUAAAUUAGCAGGUAGUACUUAUAUGAAGUUCUACUGUGUCUACUCCUGUGCCAGGUGUUUCGGUUGGGAAUGAGUAUUGGGUAAGAGGAGAAUAGAAGAUGGAAAGGCAGAAAACACCAACUCAGCUGAUAUGGUUGGGAUGUUUGUCUCCUCUAAACCUCACAUUGAAAUGUAAUCCCCAGUGUUAGAGGUGGGGCCUAGUGAAAGGUAUUGGAUGAGGGGAGUGGAUCCUUCAUGAAUGGCUUAGUGUCAUCCCCUUGGUGAUGAGUGAGUUCUCGUUCUGUUAGUUUACACAAGAUCUGGUUACUUAAAAGGGUGUGGAACCUCCCCCUCCUCUCUCUUACUCCCUCUCACCAUGUGACAUGUUGGCUCCCCUUCCCCCUCAUCAUGACUGUAAGCUUCCUGAAGCCCUUUCCAGAAGCAGAAACCGGCACCAUGCUUCAUGUACAGUCUGCAGAACCGUGAGCCAAUUAAACCUCUUUCCUUCAUAAAGCACACAGCUUCAGAUAUCUCUUUGUAACAAAGCAAAAACUGACUAACACAUCACCCAUUAAAGAGUUUACAAUUUAUUUAGAGGAAAUAAGAUGGAAGUGUAGGGAGUUAUUAGAAAGCAAGACAACCUACAAAUCUGUAAAGUAUAAGCAUCAAACUUUGUGAACAAAGAGUAUGAUGUAGGUAUUGAGAAAAGAAAAAGUGGGAUAUAGGGUGGAACAGUCUCAGAAAAGUCCUCCCAAAGGACACAGGUAAGAGAAAGACAUGGAAGAACUGGUCCAACUUACAUUGGUAGAAUCAGAGGGCUUAGGUCUUCUAAGCAGUGGAAAUGGCAGAGGCAAGUGUCCAGAGCUGGGAAUAAGGGGAUGUUAUGUGGGUAUCAUAGGGAUGGGGGCAGGGGACUUCACAAUAAGACACCAGCCAGUCUAAAGUUGAGUUUGUGUAGGAUUUUUUACUCAUAUAUUAUUGAGGGCCAUGCAUUGAACUACAUAUUAUGGAUAAAUAAUUAAUACAUUCCUGCCAUCUUGAAGUUUAUAAUCUAGUCCUACAAAGAAACUUAUCAGAGAGGUUUCUCUGAGGCUUAGUGUGUUGCGGUCUAUGCCUUUUCAUUUCAUCCUUCAAAUACUGUCUACUCAAUGAAAUUUACCUGGCCUGUUCAGCCAAAAUAAUUUAUAAAGGCAAUAAUAGCUAACAUUAUUAACACUCUCCUAGACCAGUGUACUGUACUAACUACUUUGCAUGCCUUAUUCAUAAUAAGUUAAGGUCUCUUAUAUUUUUCAGUGUACUAUGCACCAUGUUAUGGUCUUUACAAAGAUUACAUAGUGUAAUCUUUACACUAAACUUUGCAAGGGUGUACUACUAUUAUCCCCAUUGUCUCUAUGAGAAAGCUGAGGCUCUGCAAGGUUAAAUGAUUUCCCCAAGGUUCUCUUAAACUUCGUAGGGGAAGAUGGAGGAUGCUUAGAGAGUGGUAUGAACAACAUUGUGUGCCUCCUGAUGUGAUACAAUGUGCAGCACAUAGCACCGCUUUUGAAGUACUGCAUGCUUGCCAAAAGAAAAAUUGAACAUAAACUUUCAAGUUUAUUGAAAAUGGAGGGUCCAGGAGUAGUGACUCAUGUCUAUAAUCCCAGAACUUUGGGAGGCCAAGCCAGGCUGAUCACUUGGGCCAGGAGUUCAAGAGCAGCCUAGCCAACAUGGUGAAACCCUGUCUCUACUAAAAAUAUAAAAAUUAGCUGGGCAUGGUGGCUCAUGCCUGUAAUCCCAGCUACUUGGGAGGCUGAGACAUGAGAAUCACUUGAGCCUGGGAGGUGGAGGCUGCAGUGAGCUGAGAUCACGCCAUUGCACUCCAGCCUGGGCAACAGAGCAAGACUCUAUCUCAGAAAAGAAAAAAAAAUGAGAAAAGAAAAUGGAGGGAUAAAGGAUUAAGAUAAAUGAUGCCACAAAGAAGUAAACAGAAAAAUUUAGAAUUUUGGAGUGCAGGGACUGCAGGACAACUGACCAAAUUUCUUCAACAUGUCAAAUAUAUGUGUGUUUGUGUGUGUUUAUUCUAUAAAUAUAAUAAAAAUAUUUUUAUAUAAAAGUAUAUUAUAUAUAAAAGAAAAUUUGGAUUGGAUUAAUGUAAUGUUUACAGUUAUGGUAAUGGCUAUGUUAAUGUAAUGUAAUGUUAGGCCUUGUUUAGUUCCUGAUUUGAACGAACUAAUUUUUAAAAAGGCAUUUUUUUAAUAAGUAGGAAAAUUUGAAUAUGGACUGGUUAUUGGAGGGUACAGGGAAAUAUUCUCAAUUUUCUUGGGUGUGAUCAUGGCACUGUAGUUAUGGGAGAAAAUGCUAAUAUUUUUUAGAGAUAUGCACAAAUGUGUUGGGAAGUCACAUCAAAUGUGGGAUUUGCUUAAAAAUAUUUAGCAACAAUAACUACAACAGAAAAGAAUAAGUGAUGCAAACAUGAUGAAUGCUUGCUAAUUGUUAAAGCUGGGUGAUGACUACAUAAAGGAUCAUUGUAUUAGUCUCUCAAUCUUCCUGUGUUUGAAAUUGUUUUAAAUAAAGAUUCAUUUAAAAUGCAUGGCUUAAAAUAGCCAAUGAGGCUGAAAACAGAUUCUCUUGUACCACUGAGCCCAGUUCUAUGCACACAGUAGGUGCUUAAUAGGUGUAUUAUGAAUUACUAGAAUUGGAGCAUGGAAAACAGCUACAGGAUGAAUGAAAAUCACCCUGUUCU
Molecule: long non-coding RNA, 5362 nt
Filed under: Homo sapiens (human)
Lineage: Eukaryota; Metazoa; Chordata; Mammalia; Primates; Hominidae
Description: HSALNT0173382
Source: RNAcentral